Hyaena hyaena (striped hyena) is the source of this 104-nucleotide small nuclear RNA. The record is from RefSeq and is a predicted model, not a curated record. Lineage: Eukaryota; Metazoa; Chordata; Mammalia; Carnivora; Hyaenidae.
AUGCUCACGUCAGUAGCAUAUGUACUACAACUAAAACAGAACAGAGACUAGCAUGGCCUUUGCACAAGGAUUACAUGCAAAUUUGUGAAGUGUUCCAUAGAUUU